RNAcentral lists this ribosomal RNA (497 nucleotides) under uncultured bacterium. Its description in RNAcentral is "partial 16S ribosomal RNA". It matches the Rfam family "Bacterial small subunit ribosomal RNA", at positions 28 to 507 of the family's 1533-position model. The record is from RNAcentral.
GAUGAACGCUGGCGGCGUGCCUAACACAUGCAAGUCGAGCGAACGGACGAGACGCUUGCUUCUCUGCUGUUAGCGGCGGACGGGUGAUUAACACGUGGAUAACUUACCUAUAAGACUGGGAUAACUUCGGGAAACCGGAGCUAACACCGGAUAAUAUUUUGAACCGCAUGGUUCAACAGUGAAAGACGUUCUUGCUGUCCCUUAUAGAUGGAUCCGCGGUGCAUUAGCUAGUUGGUAAGGUAACGGCUUACCAAGGCAACGAUGCAUAGCCGACCUGAGAGGGUGAUCAGCCACACUGGAACUGAGACACGGUCCAGACUCCUACGGGAGGCAGCAGUAGGGAAUCUUCCGCAAAGGGCGAAAGCCUGACGGAGCAACGCCGCGUGAGUGAUGAAGGUCUUCGGAUCGUAAAACUCUGUUAUUAGGGAAGAACAUAAGUGUAAGUAACUGUGCACAUCUUGACGUUACCUAAACAGAAAGCCACGGCUAACUACGUG